AGCCGCCUAAAUGUCACCAUCUGAUUGGUCGUGCAUUUUUAACAAAAAAAGAAAGAAAGAAGGAGAGUUAAAUAUUUUUCUUUGCCCGAUAUUUUCGCUCUCUCUCUCGCGAUUUUCUUCAAAUUCUAAUUUCAUCAAGAUUUUGUUAAAAAAACGAGUUAGGGCUAUUACGUUCAUCGUAUAAUGCGUUAAGACUGAUUUGGGUUUGCUAAAGAUGGUUUUAUGGCUGCAAAUGUCUGAUGUUGCUGAGCGCCCACAAGAUGCUCGAUGAAAUGCCAAAGAGAGAGGAAAAGGAUGAAAGCUUUGAGAUGCAAGUGUGAAGAUUCAUUGGAGUUUAUGUGUUUAGUUUUUCUAGUGUGUGAGUUUUGAGAGUGUGGAGUAUGUCACGAUUUGAGAGCCAA
This is a long non-coding RNA of Arabidopsis thaliana (thale cress), 401 nucleotides long. RefSeq annotates it as other RNA. The record is from RefSeq. Lineage: Eukaryota; Viridiplantae; Streptophyta; Magnoliopsida; Brassicales; Brassicaceae. The transcript has 2 exons.